CUACCUAGUAGGCAAGAUGUAGAGUAAGUGGUUGUGAAUGGACUCUGGGCCUAGAUCUCAGAUUGAAGCAUUAUUAAGACCAUAAACCAAAUAUCAAGAGCUAAGCAGAUUGUCAAAAUGGAGUUUUGAACCCCGGACUUCAAUUCCCAGAAGUCCUUGGCCACUUCCCAAAAUGCCUUGUAACCUCACCUGAAUUCCCACCUGGGCUGAGAACAGAAAUUGUAUUUAAGCUGACUCUCCGCCUACCUCAGGUUUCUCGGCUUCUGCUUCUAGGGACACGCUUCUCCCAAGAUUUGAAGCUGAAUUUCUGCCACAAGCAUGACUUCUACAAUGGAUCACUGCUAGCUGUUUAGGUUUUGGGAUAGCAUCCAGCAACUCAGUUAUUAUUUCUGCAUGUGCAAUUGGUUUUCCCAAUGCAGUAAUAAAAUAUUGUUGUUUCCAGAUCUUCCCUGUUGC
This 456-nucleotide long non-coding RNA is filed under the name Monodelphis domestica (gray short-tailed opossum). Its description in RNAcentral is "lncRNA (ENSMODG00000034108.2)". Lineage: Eukaryota; Metazoa; Chordata; Mammalia; Didelphimorphia; Didelphidae. The record is from RNAcentral.